Molecule: long non-coding RNA, 940 nt
Organism: Astatotilapia calliptera (eastern happy)
Lineage: Eukaryota; Metazoa; Chordata; Actinopteri; Cichliformes; Cichlidae
Source: Ensembl
CGCUGCCAAUCGGGGAUGCUGUAGCUAUGGAGAUUGUGCGAGGACUGCACAAUAAACUCCCAGCAGUUCCUUGAUGACCUCCACGGGUUUGUGCUCCCAUGGCAGAUGUGCUCCUAAGUCUUCAAACAGGUCGACGUCCCUGACAGCAAGCAUCACAGCUGUCACACCGUCGCUGUUUGGAACAUUCACAUCCAGCCCGUCGUGAAGUGAGCUUACCAGCAGGUGCUGUAAGGAGUGGAGGUCUCCCUGCCAGGCAGCCUGCAGUAGCUGCGCCUGGGGGGGCAGAUGAGGCCUUGACAUCCACCUCACCAUUUCUUCCCGCAGCUCUGGCGGACUUAUGUGGAGCGCUGUCUGCUGGCUGAAGUUGCACAAGGUCAGGUCAGCAUCUGUCCUCAGGAGCUGCUGAACCACCUGUUAAACCCACCACAUAAAAAACCUGAAACAUCUCAAAAAAAUGUGAAGCGUAGAUGUGUCGUUUCUGUCAGUAAAAGGACUGUUGUUGCUCAUUUUAGUGUAAACACCUUGUGGUUGGGUGUAUUUUAAGAAAACAUAAGUUUGAGUUAUAAUUGGAGAGUUUCCCUCCAGACAAGCCUGUUUUGAAUGUCUCCCUCAGAGGAUGCAGAGGAGCUAUGUUAAAAAAAAGUUGCAUAAUCUCAUGUGAUCACAGCACUUUGUUGUUAUUGAAAGGAAAAGUACGACGUGUUACGUGACAGAAACUGGUUUCGUCUACCCAACCAAUCAUAUCCAUCUGGUGCUUUCCAGGGCUGGAGUAGCCAGCUUACCAAAGAGGAAGCAUGGUUACAAUAGACAUGUACUUGCCAAACUCUCUCUACCGCACACAUGCACACGCCGUUACCUCGCUCAUGGCACCGCGGCAGGCAGCGAUAAGGGGAGUGCAUCCUUGUUCCUUGUCUUCCUUCAGCUCUCCUUUCUGCACCCC